AGCGGCAAAAGCUCAAAUUUGAAAUCUGGCGCCUUCGGUGUCCGAGUUGUAAUUUGAAGAUUGUAACCUUGGGGUUGGCUCUUGUCUAUGUUUCUUGGAACAGGACGUCACAGAGGGUGAGAAUCCCGUGCGAUGAGAUGCCCAAUUCUAUGUAAGGUGCUUUCGAAGAGUCGAGUUGUUUGGGAAUGCAGCUCUAAGUGGGUGGUAAAUUCCAUCUAAAGCUAAAUAUUGGCGAGAGACCGAUAGCGAACAAGUACAGUGAUGGAAAGAUGAAAAGAACUUUGAAAAGAGAGUGAAAAAGUACGUGAAAUUGUUGAAAGGGAAGGGUUUGAGAUCAGACUCGAUAUUUUGUGAGCCUUGCCUUCGUGGCGGGGUGACCCGCAGCUUAUCGGGCCAGCAUCGGUUUGGGCGGUAGGAUAAUGGCGUAGGAAUGUGACUUUACUUCGGUGAAGUGUUAUAGCCUGCGUUGAUGCUGCCUGCCUAGACCGAGGACUGCGA
RNAcentral lists this ribosomal RNA (498 nucleotides) under Meyerozyma guilliermondii. RNAcentral's name for it is "LSU rRNA". It matches the Rfam family "Eukaryotic large subunit ribosomal RNA", at positions 97 to 600 of the family's 3401-position model. The record is from RNAcentral. Lineage: Eukaryota; Fungi; Ascomycota; Pichiomycetes; Serinales; Debaryomycetaceae.